RNAcentral lists this ribosomal RNA (152 nucleotides) under Aegilops tauschii subsp. strangulata. Its description in RNAcentral is "rRNA LSU_rRNA_eukarya". It matches the Rfam family "Bacterial large subunit ribosomal RNA", at positions 2481 to 2632 of the family's 2925-position model. The record is from RNAcentral. Lineage: Eukaryota; Viridiplantae; Streptophyta; Magnoliopsida; Poales; Poaceae.
ACUAAUGACUCCCAAGAGCUCUUAUCGACGAAGUCGUUUGGCACCUCGAUGUUGACUCAUCACAUCCUGGGGUUGAAGAAUUUCCCGAGGGUUCGGUUGUUCACUGUUGAAAGUGAUACAUGAGUUGGGUUUACAACACCGUGAGACAGAUC